GCGCCAUUAGCUCAAUUGGAUAGAGCAUUGCACUUCUAUUGCAUUGGUUGCGGGUUCAAGUCCUGCAUGGCGUGCCA
Molecule: transfer RNA, 77 nt
Filed under: Acinetobacter towneri
Lineage: Bacteria; Pseudomonadati; Pseudomonadota; Gammaproteobacteria; Moraxellales; Moraxellaceae
Also listed under: 1 other name
Description: tRNA-Arg
Rfam family: tRNA
About the family: Transfer RNA (tRNA) molecules are approximately 80 nucleotides in length. Their secondary structure includes four short double-helical elements and three loops (D, anti-codon, and T loops).
Source: RNAcentral